RNAcentral lists this ribosomal RNA (253 nucleotides) under uncultured bacterium. RNAcentral's name for it is "partial 16S ribosomal RNA". It matches the Rfam family "Bacterial small subunit ribosomal RNA", at positions 524 to 776 of the family's 1533-position model. The record is from RNAcentral.
GACGAACCACACGAACGUUAUUCGGAAUUACUGGGCUUAAAGGGUGCGUAGGCGGGAUGGCAAGUCGGUCGUGAAAUCCUUCGGCCCAACCGAAGGACGUCGAUCGAUACUGCUGUUCUAGAGGAUUGCAGAGGAGACUGGAAUUCCCGGUGUAGCGGUGAAAUGUGUAGAGAUCGGGAGGAACACCGGUGGCGAAGGCGGCUACCUGGACAAUUGCUGACGCUCAGGCACGAAAGCGUGGGGAGCAAAAGGG